UGCAAACUGCGAAUACCGGAGAAUGUUAUCACGGGAGACACACGGCGGGUGCUAACGUCCGUCGUGAAGAGGGAAACAACCCAGACCGCCAGCUAAGGUCCCAAAGUCAUGGUUAAGUGGGAAACGAUGUGGGAAGGCCCAGACAGCCAGGAUGUUGGCUUAGAAGCAGCCAUCAUUUAAAGAAAGCGUAAUAGCUCACUGGUCGAGUCGGCCUGCGCGGAAGAUGUAACGGGGCUAAACCAUGCACCGAAGCUGCGGCAGCGACGCUUAUGCGUUGUUGGGUAGGGGAGCGUUCUGUAAGCCUGCGAAGGUGUGCUGUGAGGCAUGCUGGAGGUAUCAGAAGUGCGAAUGCUGACAUAAGUAACGAUAAAGCGGGUGAAAAGCCCGCUCGCCGGAAGACCAAGGGUUCCUGUCCAACGUUAAUCGGGGCAGGGUGAGUCGACCCCUAAGGCGAGGCCGAAAGGCGUAGUCGAUGGGAAACAGGUUAAUAUUCCUGUACUUGGUGUUACUGCGAAGGGGGGACGGAGAAGGCUAUGUUGGCCGGGCGACGGUUGUCCCGGUUUAAGCGUGUAGGCUGGUUUUCCAGGCAAAUCCGGAAAAUCAAGGCUGAGGCGUGAUGACGAGGCACUACGGUGCUGAAGCAACAAAUGCCCUGCUUCCAGGAAAAGCCUCUAAGCAUCAGGUAACAUCAAAUCGUACCCCAAACCGACACAGGUGGUCAGGUAGAGAAUACCAAGGCGCUUGAGAGAACUCGGGUGAAGGAACUAGGCAAAAUGGUGCCGUAACUUCGGGAGAAGGCACGC
This 803-nucleotide ribosomal RNA is filed under the name Escherichia coli. RNAcentral's name for it is "partial 23S ribosomal RNA". It matches the Rfam family "Bacterial large subunit ribosomal RNA", at positions 948 to 1751 of the family's 2925-position model. The record is from RNAcentral. Lineage: Bacteria; Pseudomonadati; Pseudomonadota; Gammaproteobacteria; Enterobacterales; Enterobacteriaceae.